RNAcentral lists this transfer RNA (72 nucleotides) under Loxodonta africana (African savanna elephant). It matches the Rfam family "tRNA". From Rfam's summary of the family: Transfer RNA (tRNA) molecules are approximately 80 nucleotides in length. The record is from Rfam by way of RNAcentral. Lineage: Eukaryota; Metazoa; Chordata; Mammalia; Proboscidea; Elephantidae.
GCCCUGGUGGCACAGUGGUUAAGUGCUUGGCUGCUAACUGAAAGGUCAGUGGUUCAAACCCACUCAGUGGCU